GACGAACGCUGGCGGCAGGCCUAACACAUGCAAGUCGAACGGUAACAGGAAACAGCUUGCUGCUUCGCUGACGAGUGGCGGACGGGUGAGUAAUGUCUGGGAAACUGCCUGAUGGAGGGGGAUAACUACUGGAAACGGUAGCUAAUACCGCAUAACGUCGCAAGACCAAAGAGGGGGACCUUCGGGCCUCUUGCCAUCGGAUGUGCCCAGAUGGGAUUAGCUGGUAGGUGGGGUAACGGCUCACCUAGGCGACGAUCCCUAGCUGGUCUGAGAGGCUGACCAGCCAUACUGGAACUGAGACACGGUCCAGACUCCUACGGGAGGCAGCAGUGGGGAAUAUUGCACAAUGGGCGCAAGCCUGAUGCAGCCAUGUCGCGUGUAUGAAGAAGGCCUUCGGGUUGUAAAGUACUUUCAGCGGGGAGGAAGGGAGUAAAGUUAAUACCUUUGCUCAUUGACGUUACCCGCAGAAGAAGCACCGGCUAACUCCGUGCCAGCAGCCGCCGUAA
This 506-nucleotide ribosomal RNA is filed under the name uncultured bacterium. RNAcentral's name for it is "partial 16S ribosomal RNA". It matches the Rfam family "Bacterial small subunit ribosomal RNA", at positions 28 to 523 of the family's 1533-position model. The record is from RNAcentral.